Long non-coding RNA from Sinocyclocheilus grahami, 455 nucleotides. RefSeq lists it as uncharacterized. Lineage: Eukaryota; Metazoa; Chordata; Actinopteri; Cypriniformes; Cyprinidae. The record is from RefSeq and is a predicted model, not a curated record. The transcript has 3 exons.
CCAUAGGCUCCCGCGGGAACGGCUGACUCAGGGUGAGUGUGAGUGAACGCGGGCCGCUGCUGUUGUUUAUGGAGGUCUGUGUGUUUGAGCAGGUGGCGAGGAUUAGCGGUGCUGUCAACACUGAACGCUGGAUAAAGCUUCUGCUCACCCUUUCCUCAGUCUGCUCAUUAGAGCUCAUCAUUUUACCAUUUCACUCUCACACACGCAUCUGAAGAGAUGUAGUGGCAGCCCUGUCUCCUGUUGUGAAGCAGAUGUUGCCCUCUGUUUUUACCCACCUCUGCACCCUUUAUCCCAUGCCAAGUCCCAAGAAGCAAUGGUGCCAUGCUAAGUGAGGGACACAAUGGAUAUGUAAAAAUCCAGCAGAAUGCAGGUUUGACAGUGUGUCCUUUCUAAUUCCCACUCUCCAUCACUUAACCUCCUGGUCAGACAGAGGAACAGAGGGUGCUGGGAAAGAA